AUAGUAUGUGAAUUGCAGAAUUCAGUGAAUCAUCGAAUCUUUGAACGCACCUUGCGCCCCUUGGUAUUCCGAGGGGCACGCCUGUUUGAGUGUCGUG
This 97-nucleotide ribosomal RNA is filed under the name Dentipellis fragilis. RNAcentral describes it as "partial 5.8S ribosomal RNA". It matches the Rfam family "5.8S ribosomal RNA", at positions 58 to 154 of the family's 154-position model. Rfam says of the family: 5.8S ribosomal RNA (5.8S rRNA) is a component of the large subunit of the eukaryotic ribosome. Lineage: Eukaryota; Fungi; Basidiomycota; Agaricomycetes; Russulales; Hericiaceae. The record is from RNAcentral.